This 76-nucleotide transfer RNA is filed under the name Gammaproteobacteria bacterium. RNAcentral's name for it is "tRNA-Thr". It matches the Rfam family "tRNA". Rfam says of the family: Transfer RNA (tRNA) molecules are approximately 80 nucleotides in length. Their secondary structure includes four short double-helical elements and three loops (D, anti-codon, and T loops). Lineage: Bacteria; Pseudomonadati; Pseudomonadota; Gammaproteobacteria. The record is from RNAcentral.
GCCGGCGUAGCUCAGUUGGCAGAGCAACUGAUUCGUAAUCAGUAGGUCGGAGGUUCGAAUCCUCUCGCCGGCACCA